UGGGUUGAAGCCCGCUGGAUUGGGUGUUUAGUUGUUAAUUAGAGUUUUACGGGAUC
This 56-nucleotide transfer RNA is filed under the name Homonota darwinii (Darwin's marked gecko). Its description in RNAcentral is "tRNA-Asn". The record is from RNAcentral. Lineage: Eukaryota; Metazoa; Chordata; Lepidosauria; Squamata; Phyllodactylidae.